This 212-nucleotide small RNA is filed under the name Morganella psychrotolerans. Its description in RNAcentral is "GlmZ RNA activator of glmS mRNA". It matches the Rfam family "GlmZ RNA activator of glmS mRNA". From Rfam's summary of the family: This RNA was discovered in E. coli during a large scale screen. The sraJ gene was expressed in early logarithmic phase, but its level decreased with cell growth. Lineage: Bacteria; Pseudomonadati; Pseudomonadota; Gammaproteobacteria; Enterobacterales; Morganellaceae. The record is from RNAcentral.
GUAGAUGCUCAUCUCACUCCUUAUGAUUGCGAAAGCUUCAUAAACCCGGAGAUGAUGCAGAGCUAGAUUCGGUGCCUAUUGUCCGGGUUAUCGAUGUAAAAGAUCCCAAAAUCUUUACAUCAACAACAGGACGUAACGUUGAGUGAGGCACCACCCGUCUGUAGACCUGAUUGUAUUUUUAUACACCUAUCGUUUCACGAUAGGUGUUUUUU